This 581-nucleotide long non-coding RNA is filed under the name Homo sapiens (human). RNAcentral describes it as "HSALNT0328829". Lineage: Eukaryota; Metazoa; Chordata; Mammalia; Primates; Hominidae. The record is from RNAcentral.
GGAGGGUGGUGCACCCAGGGAUGGCAUGGGACCUUUGCACCCCUUCCUUCAUACCUCUCCCUAUGCAUCUCUUCACCUGUAUCCUUUCUAAUAUUCUUCAUACUAAACAGGGCUAAGCUCAAGACCCAGGUUUGGCAAAUGAGUACAUCACAGCUGCUCUAGCAAGGGAAUAAAUUCGCCAAUGACCAGAUGACCCAGUUGGUUAAGGCACAGCAUUCAACUCCCCCAGAGGAUGCAGCAUCAAAGUGCCAACUUGCAAGCAGUGAGAAGCUCUUAAAAGACAGCUGAACCUGCAGCUCCUUGAUCUUGGACUUUCUGUCCUCCAGAACUGAAAUUUGGUGCUAAGUCUAGUGAGUUGGACAUGGCCAUUCGAUGGAGGCUCCCAAGAACAAUGAAGUCAGGCAUCUAUUCUUUCUCUCACUGUGACUGUGAUGACCUGGCCGAGGCAAACACUUUCAGGUAGGUGCUCAGAAGAGACUUUAAAAUGAGACGGCAGAUUUUACUUUUAGAAAUAUGAACAAAGAACUGAAUAAGAUGCUAAAAUAAGAGAUAAAUUAUGCAAAUGCCUAUAAUAAUGAACA